AUGGGCAGGGAGAAGGAUCAGGGCCUUGAUCACGGGGUGCAGACUUUGGCUUUUAUUCUGAGCGAUGCGGGAGGUCACUGCAGGGGUCCGAGUCCAGGAGUGGCAAGAGGACUGUGUUUGGAAUGGCUCACAUUGUGCUGUGUUGAAAACAGCCUGCAGGCAGGCUCGGAAAGGAGAACGGGGCGCCAUCUAGAGGCUCACUCAGGUUUUUCAGGAUAUCAACACUAUACUUGCCAGAAACAGAAGUCAUGACUGAUGUUUCUAAAAAAGAAACUGGAGAGAGAAAGACUCUGAAACUCUGAUUUGUGAACAGUCUCUUCACUCCAAGGUAUCAUCUGAGGGAUCCCAGCUCCCAUCUGCCCUGUGAGCUGGGCCAUGGAUUUGUCUUGGGAAGGAUGCCUGGCCCACUGGAUCUCCACUGUAGAGCUGGGUAGGAGACCCUCAGGUUGGACAGUCAUAUGGCCCACAGAGACCCUUCCUGAAAGCUCUUUCUCUCUGGGCUUAAAAUCCAUGGAGGACAUGGGGAGUUAGAGAGGAGAAGGGAGUUGGGGGAAAUUGGAAGGGGAGACGAACCAUGAGAGACGAUGGACUCUGAAAAACAAUCUGAGGGUUUUGAAGGGGCGGGGGGUGGGAGGUCGGGGUACCAGGUGGUGGGUAUUAUAGAAGGCACCGAUUGCAUGGAGCACUGGGUGUGGUGCAAAAAUAAUGAAUACUGUUAUGCUGAAAAUGAAUAAAAAAUAAAUUAAAAAAAAUCCAUUCUCCCAGGCGAACAGUGCCAGUCCUGGGGACCUCUCUCCCUAUAAUGUUCUACACAAACCCCAAGGACUUUACUUCACCUCCUUUGAAAAUAGCAUAUAGCUGAGUCUCUUUGCCUAAUAGACCAACUAAAUCUGUUUAUGUUAUGAUUUAAUUUAAUUAGUGGUAUGUCUGGAUUGACUUCUACCAUCUUACUGUGUGUAUGUAUCAUGCUUGGCAAAUAAGAAAAUUAUUUCUCUUUCUCUUUUCCUAUGUUCUGUGGGACUGAUUUCCUCUACACAUUUCACGUAUAUUAUUUUUAACAGUAGUUAUCUUUACAUUUUUAGCAUGAAAAUAUAACCUCGCGUAUUUCUUAAGUCUAGAAAGUUUAUCAAUAUGUCUAGCUUUUUCUUGAAAAAGAAAAGGACUAUAGAAUAUCUAACUUCCCUCUGAAAUUCCCAUUUUUAUUUUACAUGUUAUUAUAAUUCAGACGUUAGUUCCACCUCAUUUUUAUCCUCCAUUAAUUGUUUUGUAGUCAGUAAUUAUUACCGAUGUCCUUGUUCAUCCGUGGUUUCUCGUCUCACCUCCUUGUUCUGCGUUCUCAGUAAAUUCUUCAGACUUCCCUUGAAUUUAUGAGUUUUCUCUUUAGCCAAGUAUAAUCUACUUUUUAAUCUGUUUAUUGAGUGUAAGUUUUCAAUUAUCACACAUUUUAUUUAUAGAUUUUGCUUGGUGCUUUUCCAAGCCUGUCUUUCAAAAAUAUGCUGUAUUAGUUUCCUAUUGCUGCUGUAAUGUAUUACCAUUAAAAAAAAAAAAAAAAAAAGGCUUAAGCACCACAAAUUUUCCUACAGUUCUGCAGCUCCGAAGUCCAACACAAGGUCUUCCUGAACUGAAAUCAAGGUGUCUGCUCCCUGCAAGCUCCGGGGAAGAAUCCAUUUCCUUGUUCAUCUGGGAUAUUGGCUGAAUUCAGUGCCUUGUGUUUAUAGGACUGAGGUCCCCAUUUCCCUGCUGCCCGUCAGCUAAGCCUGUUCACAAGCUACCCCAUGCUUGGUGUGUCCCCUUCUUCCAUCUUCAAAACCAUCAAAAGUAGGUCAAAUCCCUCUCACACUUCAAAUAUCUCCUGUCUUUUCUUCUGUCUUCUCAUUUAUGACUCACUCCUUGUCUUUCUUCCAAUUUUUAAAAAAGAUUUUAUUUACUUAUUUGAGAGAGAGAGAGAGAGAGAGCAAAAGAGCUCACAUAAGCAGGGGGAGAGAGAGAAGCAGGCUCCCCACUGAGCAGGAAGCCCAAAAUGGGACUCAGUCCAAGUACCCUGGGGUCAUGGCCUGAGCGGAAGGCAGACGCUUAACCGACUGAGCCACCCAGGCAUCUAGUGAAUUUUUUUAAAGAUUUC
This is a long non-coding RNA of Mustela putorius furo (domestic ferret), 2122 nucleotides long. The record is from Ensembl. NCBI's taxonomy places the organism in Eukaryota, Metazoa, Chordata, Mammalia, Carnivora, Mustelidae.